CGGGACGGGUGAGUAACGCGUGGGUAACCUGCCUCAUACAGGGGGAUAACAGUUAGAAAUGGCUGCUAAUACCGCAUAAGACCACAGCACCGCAUGGUGCAGGGGUAAAAACUCCGGUGGUAUGAGAUGGACCCGCGUCUGAUUAGCUGGUUGGUGAGGUAACGGCCCACCAAGGCGACGAUCAGUAGCCGACCUGAGAGGGUGACCGGCCACAUUGGGACUGAGACACGGCCCAG
RNAcentral lists this ribosomal RNA (236 nucleotides) under uncultured bacterium. Its description in RNAcentral is "partial 16S ribosomal RNA". It matches the Rfam family "Bacterial small subunit ribosomal RNA", at positions 100 to 334 of the family's 1533-position model. The record is from RNAcentral.